UGGGGAAUAUUGCACAAUGGGGGAAACCCUGAUGCAGCGACGCCGCGUGAGCGAAGAAGUAUUCGGUAUGUAAAGCUCUAUCAGCAGGGAAGAAAAAAAUGACGGUACCUGAGUAAGAAGCACCGGCUAAAUACGUGCC
This 139-nucleotide ribosomal RNA is filed under the name uncultured bacterium. RNAcentral describes it as "partial 16S ribosomal RNA". It matches the Rfam family "Bacterial small subunit ribosomal RNA", at positions 355 to 509 of the family's 1533-position model. The record is from RNAcentral.